GAUGAACGCUAGCGGCAGGCUUAAUACAUGCAAGUCGAGGGGGCAGCAAUGUCACCGGCGAACGGGUGCGUAACGCGUAUGCAACCUACCUACAUCAGGGGGAUAGCCCUAGGAAACUGGGAUUAACACCGCAUAACAUAUGACAAGGCAUCUUGUUAUAUUGAAAUAUUUAUAGGAUGUAGAUGGGCAUGCGUAGGAUUAGCUAGUUGGUAAGGUAACGGCUUACCAAGGCUACGAUCCUUAGGGGCUCUGAGAGGAGUAUCCCCCACACUGGCACUGAGAUACGGGCCAGACUCCUACGGGAGGCAGCAGUAGGGAAUAUUGGGCAAUGGAGGCAACUCUGACCCAGCCAUGCCGCGUGCAGGAAGACGGUCCUCUGGAUUGUAAACUGCUUUUGAAUGGGAAGAAUGUGCUUCUUGCGAGAGGUAAUGACGGUACCAUUAGAAUAAGCCACGGCUAACUACGUG
Molecule: ribosomal RNA, 467 nt
Filed under: uncultured organism
Description: bacterial SSU rRNA
Rfam family: Bacterial small subunit ribosomal RNA
Source: RNAcentral